RNAcentral lists this ribosomal RNA (464 nucleotides) under uncultured bacterium. Its description in RNAcentral is "partial 16S ribosomal RNA". It matches the Rfam family "Bacterial small subunit ribosomal RNA", at positions 339 to 795 of the family's 1533-position model. The record is from RNAcentral.
CUACGGGGGGCAGCAGCGGGGAAUAUUGCACAAUGGAGGAAACUCUGAUGCAGCCAUGCCGCGUGUGUGAAGAAGGCCCGAGGGUUGUAAAGCACUUUCGAUUGGGAGGAAGGUUAUGUAGCUAAUACCUGCAUAAUUUGACGUUACCUUUAGAAGAAGCACCGGCUAACUCUGUGCCAGCAGCCGCGGUAAUACAGAGGGUGCAAGCGUUAUUCGGAAUUACUGGGCGUAAAGCGCGCGUAGGCGGAUUGUUAAGUCAGAUGUGAAAGCCCUGGGCUCAACCUGGGAACGGCAUUUGAUACCGGCAGUCUAGAGUUUAAGAGAGGGAAGGGGAAUUUCUAGUGUAGCAGUGAAAUGCGUAGAUAUUAGAAGGAACAUCAGUGGCGAAGGCGCCUUCCUGGCUUAAAACUGACGCUGAGGUGCGAAAGCGUGGGUAGCGAACGGGAUUAGAUACCCUAGUAGUC